RNAcentral lists this ribosomal RNA (305 nucleotides) under uncultured bacterium. Its description in RNAcentral is "bacterial SSU rRNA". It matches the Rfam family "Bacterial small subunit ribosomal RNA", at positions 332 to 631 of the family's 1533-position model. The record is from RNAcentral.
UCGAGCCUACGGGGCGCAGCAGUAGGGAAUUUUCGUCAAUGGGCGCAAGCCUGAACGAGCGAUGCCGCGUGAGUGAAGAAGGCCUUCGGGUCGUAAAGCUCUGUUGCGGGGGAAAAAAGGCAGCAUCAGGAAAUGGGUGCUGACUGAUGGUGCCCCGCCAGAAAGUCACGGCUAACUACGUGCCAGCAGCCGCGGUAAUACGGAGGAUGCGAGCGUUAUCCGGAUUUAUUGGGUUUAAAGGGUGCGUAGGCGGACAGUCAAGUCAGCGGUAAAAAUGCGGUGCUCAACGCCGUACAGCCGUUGAA